CAGCAGCCACGGGAAUACGAAGGGGGCUAGCGUUGUUCGGAAUUACUGGGCGUAAAGCGCACGUAGGCGGAUUUUUAAGUCAGGGGUGAAAUCCCGAGGCUCAACCUCGGAACUGCCUUUGAUACUGGAGAUCUUGAGUUCGGAAGAGGUUGGUGGAACAGCUAGUGUAGAGGUGAAAUUCGUAGAUAUUAGCUAGAACACCAGUGGCGAAGGCGGCCAACUGGUCCGAUACUGACGCUGAGGUGCGAAAGCGUGGGGAGCAAACAGGAUUAGAUACCCCAGUAGUCCCUGUCUCUUAUAC
This 301-nucleotide ribosomal RNA is filed under the name uncultured bacterium. RNAcentral describes it as "partial 16S ribosomal RNA". It matches the Rfam family "Bacterial small subunit ribosomal RNA", at positions 509 to 807 of the family's 1533-position model. The record is from RNAcentral.